Long non-coding RNA from Phymastichus coffea, 908 nucleotides. RefSeq lists it as uncharacterized. The record is from RefSeq and is a predicted model, not a curated record. NCBI's taxonomy places the organism in Eukaryota, Metazoa, Arthropoda, Insecta, Hymenoptera, Eulophidae. The transcript is spliced from 3 exons.
UCGUUUUGUUCUAUCUUUUCAUCACAAUUAUAUAUUUACUGAAAUUCAUUGGUGACUAUGUAAUUUUCCAGUGAAUUUUUUCCACACUAAUUUGAUAUUCUGAUACAAUUGCAUUUAGUUACCGUACAUUUGCAAAAGCUUCUGUAAUGAACGUGAAAGACUAAAUUAUCGUGUAUUUACGAUUUGCAGCGAACCGAUGUAAGGGUAAGACUAUAGAGGUAAUAUAUCGUAUCCAAAAUAUUUUAGUUUCCUUGUUUACUGAAACCCAAUGAUUUCAUAUUAAAUACAUUGUCGCCAAUUAACUUGAUGACGUUAUCAAGUAUCUCGCAGCUCUUUCAGCCAAUAUCUCAAAGAAUAACCCAUAGUUAUCACUGCAUGUGCUUGCAUAUAAAGGUGAAAUGGUCUCGAGACUGUGUGUCGGAAAGGUGAUCUCUUGGAUUUGGCAACGUUCGGUCAUUCGUCCUCAGUGGUUUGCCCGCCGUUCGCUCUAAAUGCACAAGCUAUUUUUAUGCCCUCCUCGAGCAAAAGAGGACAAUUUUUCAUGAGAACGUCGCCACGGCAGCUGUCUCGCUUUCGAGAAUUCGCGCUUGAACUUAUUUCGCGUUCGCAAUAGCCUACUUUCAAAAUGUUGGAACUCUUGGUAUCCGACCCAAUUUCCGCGAGAGAAUUUUAAAAUUAGCAACAUGCCACCCACGCUCAUGUGAGUGCCCUUGCCAACGACGAGACACACUAGUGACUGGAGAACGCCAUGUCCUUUUUCGUUUGAUAGUCGAGUAAUGUCGAAUGUGCUAUACAUAACUAAUUGUUAAAUAUGAUGAUUAGCCGUGGUAUAUUUUUGUACUACGCUCAGUAAGCUCGAACCAAAAAUAGCUCAAAAUAAGAAAUUCUGGGUUGGCGCUCGACGAAGG